Long non-coding RNA from Sebastes umbrosus (honeycomb rockfish), 500 nucleotides. RefSeq lists it as uncharacterized. The record is from RefSeq and is a predicted model, not a curated record. Lineage: Eukaryota; Metazoa; Chordata; Actinopteri; Perciformes; Sebastidae. The transcript is spliced from 3 exons.
GACCUCUAUCUGCUGAAAGAGAGAGACAAAGUUUAAGACAAAACACAGAAACUUAUUAUUUCCAAUGCCAAUAUGAAAAUAAUCAAUAUAACAUCAUAUAAAGAAGUAAAGGUUAUAAAGUUAUCAUCCCUUCUUGAAGUCAAAACUAACGUCAAAGUAUUUUUUAUAUUUAUUUUUAAUAGUUUUUCAACAAGUUGCUCUGCAGGACAAGAUGUUUGUAAGUUAGAGAAGGAGACUGUAGCAGGAACGCUAAUGUUGUUCAAAGUCUGUGGCUCCUGUUCAGUUCAGUUCAGUUCAGUUCAGUUCAGUUCAGUUCAUUUUUAUAUAGCAUCAAAUCAUAACAGAAGUUAUCUAAAGAUGCUUUUCAUAUAGAGCAGGUUUAGACCGUACUCUAUAAUUUAGAGACCCAACUAAAGCAUGAGCAUGUACUGUUAUGCGACAAAGGCAAGGACAAAUCUCCCCUUUCGUCAGUGUGACUGUCUGUCUGUGAUAGAACAGUG